AUGAGGCUUGAUUUACGGAAGACCCGCUAUUUAGAAACCCUGCAGAGCAUCAGUAAAAUCCGCGCUCCCACUGCAGAAAGGCUGCUGUCUCUGGGAGGGGAGCCCAAGACGACCAGUUCUAACGAGUUCAAGCUGAACCAGCCACCCGAGGAUGGCAUCUCCUCGGUGAAGUUUAGCCCCAACACCUCCCAGUUCCUGCUUGUCUCCUCCUGGGACACGUCCGUGCGCCUCUACGGUGUGCCGGCCAACUCCGUGCGGCUCAAGUACCAGCGCACCGGCGCCGUCCUGGACUGCGCCUUCUACCAUCCAAUGCAUGCCUGGAGUGGAGGACUAGAUCAUCAAUUGAAAAUGCAUGAUUUGAACAUUGAUCAAGAAAAUCUUGUUGGGACCCAUGAUGCCCCUAUCAGUUGUGUUGAAUACCGUCCAGAAGUGAAUGUGGUGGUCACUGGAAAUUGGGAUCAGACAGUUUAAUUGUGGGAUUCCAGAACUCCUUGUAAUGCCGGGACCUUCUCUCAGCCUGAAAAGGUAUAUACCCUCUCAGUGUCUGGAGACCGGCUGAUUGUGUAAACAGCAGGCCGCAGUGUUGGUGUGAGACUUACGGAACAUGGGUUACGUGCAGCAGCGCAGGGAGUCCAGCCUGAAAUACCAGACUCGUUGCAUACGAGCCUUUCCAAACAAGCAGGCUUAUGUAUUAAGUUCUAUUGAAGGCCGAGUGGCCGUUGAGUAUUUGGACCCAAGCCCUGAGGUACAGAAGAAGAAGUAUGCCUUCAAAUGUCACAGACUAAAAGAAAAUAAUAUUCAGCAGAUUUACCCAGUCAAUGCCAUUUCUUUUCACAAUAUCCACAAUACAUUUGCCACAAGUCGUUCUGAUGGCUUUGGAAGUAUUUGCGAUCCAUUUAACAAAAAGCGACUGUGCCAGUUCCAUCGGUACCCCACGAGCAUCGCAUCACUUGCCUUCAGUAAUGAUGGGACUAUGCUUGCAAUAACAUCAUCAUGUAUGUAUGAAAUGGAUGACACGGAACACCCUGAAGAUGGUAUCUUCAUUCGCCAAGUGACAGAUGCAGAAACAAAACUCAAGUCACCAUGUACUUGACAAGAUUUCAUUUGUUUAAGUGCCAUGUUGAUGAUAAUAAAACAAUUUGUGCUCCCCAAUGGUGGAUUUGUUAAUAUUAAAGAAACCAGGGAAAAUAUUAAUUUUAAUAUUAUAACAACCUGAAAAUAAUGGAAAAGAGGUUUUUGAAUUUUUUUUUUUUAAUAAACAGUUUCUUCAGUGCAUGAGAUGGUUUGAUGGUUUGCUGCAUUAAAGGUAUUUGGGCAAACAAAAUUGGAGGGCAGUGACUGCAGUUUUGAGAAUCAGUUUUGACCUUGAUGAUUUUUUGUUUCCACUGU
Molecule: RNA transcript, 1389 nt
Organism: Cercocebus atys (sooty mangabey)
Lineage: Eukaryota; Metazoa; Chordata; Mammalia; Primates; Cercopithecidae
Gene name: mitotic checkpoint protein BUB3 pseudogene
Exons: 2
Source: RefSeq, a predicted model, not a curated record